RNAcentral lists this long non-coding RNA (315 nucleotides) under Drosophila guanche. Lineage: Eukaryota; Metazoa; Arthropoda; Insecta; Diptera; Drosophilidae. The record is from RNAcentral.
AUUUGUAUAAAAGCAGUUACAUCAUUAGAUGUGAGGUCAGGGGCAAGUCGAGAGACAAAAACUUGCCGCUUUGGUGGGACUCCCACCAGAGGUUUUGGCACCACAGAUCUGGUACCUGUGACGGCAAUAUCCGGUAGUCCGGGACGUUUAUUAACUGGUGGGAUCGAAAUAGAUGGGAUGGGCUUUGUAACGGACUCGACAGACACGGACGCUACAGUACUAACUGGCUGCAUGUUCUCCGAGAUGAUCGAUUCGGUAGCCGAAACUUAAUCACCAGCAGUUGUCGUUGCCCUUGGAGUGGCGAACGAAAUUAGC